RNAcentral lists this ribosomal RNA (339 nucleotides) under uncultured bacterium. RNAcentral's name for it is "bacterial SSU rRNA". It matches the Rfam family "Bacterial small subunit ribosomal RNA", at positions 1166 to 1505 of the family's 1533-position model. The record is from RNAcentral.
GAGGAAGGUGGGGAUGACGUCAAGUCCUCAUGGCCCUUAUGUCCUGGGCUACACACGUGCUACAAUGGCGGUGACAGUGGGAAGCCAGGCAGCGAUGCCGAGCUGAUCCUCAAAAGCCGUCUCAGUUCGGAUUGUACUCUGCAACUCGAGUGCAUGAAGGUGGAAUCGCUAGUAAUCGCGGAUCAGCAUGCCGCGGUGAAUACGUUCCCGGGCCUUGUACACACCGCCCGUCACACCAUGGGAUUUGGUUUGACCUUAAGCUGGUGCGCUAACCGCAAGGAGGCAGCCAACCACGGUCGGGUUAGAGACUGGGGUGAAGUCGUAACAAGGUAGCCGUAA